Molecule: ribosomal RNA, 618 nt
Filed under: Enterobacter hormaechei
Lineage: Bacteria; Pseudomonadati; Pseudomonadota; Gammaproteobacteria; Enterobacterales; Enterobacteriaceae
Description: partial 23S ribosomal RNA
Source: RNAcentral
AGCGACUAAGCGUACACGGUGGAUGCCCUGGCAGUCAGAGGCGAUGAAGGACGUGCUAAUCUGCGAAAAGCGCCGGCGAGGUGAUAUGAACCCUUGACCCGGCGAUGUCCGAAUGGGGAAACCCAGUGCAAUCCGUUGCACUAUCGUUAACUGAAUACAUAGGUUAACGAGGCGAACCGGGGGAACUGAAACAUCUAAGUACCCCGAGGAAAAGAAAUCAACCGAGAUUCCCCCAGUAGCGGCGAGCGAACGGGGAGCAGCCCGGAGUCUGAAUCAGCUUGUGUGUUAGUGGAACGGUCUGGAAAGUCCGACGGUACAGGGUGACAGUCCCGUACACGAAAGCACACWUGCUGUGAACUCGAAGAGUAGGGCGGGACACGUGGUAUCCUGUCUGAAUAUGGGGGGACCAUCCUCYAAGGCUAAAUACUCCUGACUGACCGAUAGUGAACCAGUACCGUGAGGGAAAGGCGAAAAGAACCCCGGCGAGGGGAGUGAAAAAGAACCUGAAACCGUGUACGUACAAGCAGUGGGAGCCUCUUUAUGGGGUGACUGCGUACCUUUUGUAUAAUGGGUCAGCGACUUAUAUUCUGUAGCAAGGUUAACCGUAUAGGGGAGCCG